UACGGAGGGUGCGAGCGUUGUCCGGAAUCAUUGGGCGUAAAGGGUGCGUAGGUGGCGGGACAAGCGUGCGGUGAAAGCCUGGGGCUCAACCCCGGGUCGGCCGUGCGAACUGUUUUGCUUGAGCACUGUAGAGGCAGGCGGAAUUCCGGGUGUAGCGGUGGAAUGCGUAGAGAUCCGGAAGAACACCGGUGGCGAAGGCGGCCUGCUGGGCAGUAGCUGACACUGAGGCGCGACAGCGUGGGGAGCAAACAGG
RNAcentral lists this ribosomal RNA (253 nucleotides) under uncultured bacterium. RNAcentral's name for it is "partial 16S ribosomal RNA". It matches the Rfam family "Bacterial small subunit ribosomal RNA", at positions 524 to 776 of the family's 1533-position model. The record is from RNAcentral.